ACUACGGGUGGCAGCAGUGGGGAAUAUUGGACAAUGGGGGGAACCCUGAUCCAGCCAUGCCGCGUGUGUGAAGAAGGCCCUCGGGUUGUAAAGCACUUUCAGUGAGGAAGAACGCCUGGUGGUUAAUACCCAUCAGGAAAGACAUCACUCACAGAAGAAGCACCGGCUAACUCCGUGCCAGCAGCCGCGGUAAUACGGAGGGUGCGAGCGUUAAUCGGAAUUACUGGGCGUAAAGCGCGCGUAGGUGGCUUGAUAAGCCGGUUGUGAAAGCCCCGGGCUCAACCUGGGAACGGCAUCCGGAACUGUCAAGCUAGAGUGCAGGAGAGGAAGGUAGAAUUCCCGGUGUAGCGGUGAAAUGCGUAGAGAUCGGGAGGAAUACCUGUGGCGAAGGCGGCCUUCUGGACUGACACUGACACUGAGGUGCGAAAGCGUGGGUAGCAAACAGGAUUAGAUACCCUAGUAGUC
This 465-nucleotide ribosomal RNA is filed under the name Vreelandella stevensii. Its description in RNAcentral is "partial 16S ribosomal RNA". It matches the Rfam family "Bacterial small subunit ribosomal RNA", at positions 338 to 795 of the family's 1533-position model. The record is from RNAcentral. Lineage: Bacteria; Pseudomonadati; Pseudomonadota; Gammaproteobacteria; Oceanospirillales; Halomonadaceae.